AUACGGAGGGUCCAAGCGUUGUUCGGAUUUAUUGGGCGUAAAGCGAGUGUAGGCGGUUUGACAAGUCGGAUGUGAAAUCCCAGGGCCCAACCCUGGAACUGCAUCCGAUACUGUUAGGCUAGAGUCCCGGAGAGGGUGGCGGAAUUCCCGGUGUAGGGGUGAAAUCCGUAGAUAUCGGGAGGAACACCAGUGGCGAAGGCGGCCACCUGGACGGUGACUGACGCUGAGACUCGAAAGCGUGGGUAGCAAACAGGAUUAGAAACCCCGGUAGUCC
Molecule: ribosomal RNA, 274 nt
Filed under: uncultured bacterium
Lineage: Bacteria
Description: partial 16S ribosomal RNA
Rfam family: Bacterial small subunit ribosomal RNA
Source: RNAcentral